Branchiostoma floridae (Florida lancelet) is the source of this 1183-nucleotide long non-coding RNA. RefSeq lists it as uncharacterized. The transcript has 3 exons. The record is from RefSeq and is a predicted model, not a curated record. NCBI's taxonomy places the organism in Eukaryota, Metazoa, Chordata, Leptocardii, Amphioxiformes, Branchiostomatidae.
CCGUCGGAUACGCAUGCGCACUAUGCGGGCGGGACGAUUAGAAAAAAGUCGUUACAGAAAUGAGAUCGGACAUGACUACGAGGUUUUACGUAUCGCUUUCUACGCUAAAAAUGGCACAAGGAGUCUGCUAUGGUCGGCCAGCAAUUUGGGAGAGGCUUGUGAGUGUUGGGGGAAUAUGGUGUAAGCUUAAACGGACGGAAAAUGAUCGUGACUGAUGUUUUUGGAUGUACGUUUGGCGGCCGCCCCCCUCCCACCCUGGGCGGCGCACCCCUAACAGGAUUACCAACGUGUACUUCGUACAGCUGCAGUAGAUACCUCCUUCAGACAUGCAGCACAAGUUGUGAGGGUGGAUAGCCAGUCCUGAGUAAAGCAAGCAUCAGCCAGAAGUUUAGCUGCUGACUACUUCAAUGCUGCUACACACUCCAUAGGAACUGGCUCAUCACACAAAGGACUCCAAACUCCUGCCAAGGAGUUCAGGAUUCAGACACAGAGGAAGGCAGCCUGUGCUGGUGUGGACACUACACGGAGUGCUUUGCAGCAGAGGACUAGAAUAUAGAUGAGAAUUUGGAGAGGAUGUUAUAAGUUUACUUACCUGUAUUUAAAUAUUUGUAUCGACAACAACUUUGUUCUUAUAUCUGAUCGCUGUUGGCCUAAGGGCUGCUAACUGACUAAGACCUUCAUAGCUUAUGAAAGUUGUGUUUCAGUGUUGUGCGAUUGUAUGAACUAUGUGAUUAUGAUUUGUGAUACAUUUUACAUAUUUGUCAGUAUUGUAUUGUACCUACACAGGUCACAUUUGAUAAUUCCAUUUGUACCUGCAUAUACUGGUGGUAUUUUGAACCCUCACUUGCAUCUGCCCCUCACCCUUCUCUAAAGAAAAAGAAUUUCUUAGCCAGAUCACUAUAGGCUUGUUUUUAAUCUGUUAUUAAUAUAGAAAUGAUAGGUUAUGAAUUCCCCAAUCUGUGAAGUUAAGGUGAUGUUGAAUUAUUGCUUGGAUAAACAUGCAGCAUUACAUGAUGCUGAUAGGAUCAUGUUGGCAAAGUGUAAAACAAUACAGGCCCCACUGAAUGUCAUAUGUCAUUUAUGCAUUGCAGUUUUUAUCGUCAUGUUACUGUUUCUUUCAUUCGUCUUGAGUUUCUGAUUAUAUAGUGGAACAUUUUGAUUCAUACAUUUGUUAACAGUGACA